UGGCUAGAGUGGUCCACAUGCCAAACUGUAAGGUAGGUGUCCUAAGGCCAGCUCAGGGAGGAUGGAAACCUCCAGUAGAGGAGAAGGGCAAAAGAUUUCUUGAUCUUGACUUUCAGUACAAAUACAGACUGUGAAAGCAGGGCCUCAUCAUCCUUCUGACUUUCUGAG
This 168-nucleotide non-coding RNA is filed under the name Acanthisitta chloris (rifleman). RNAcentral describes it as "Eukaryotic large subunit ribosomal RNA". It matches the Rfam family "Eukaryotic large subunit ribosomal RNA", at positions 2622 to 2789 of the family's 3401-position model. The record is from Rfam by way of RNAcentral. Lineage: Eukaryota; Metazoa; Chordata; Aves; Passeriformes; Acanthisittidae.